RNAcentral lists this ribosomal RNA (207 nucleotides) under uncultured bacterium. RNAcentral describes it as "partial 16S ribosomal RNA". It matches the Rfam family "Bacterial small subunit ribosomal RNA", at positions 568 to 774 of the family's 1533-position model. The record is from RNAcentral.
CACGUAGGCGGAUCUUUAAGUCGGGGGUGAAAUCCUGGAGCUCAACUCCAGAACUGCCUUCGAUACUGAGGGUCUCGAGUCCGGGAGAGGUGAGUGGAACUCCGAGUGUAGAGGUGAAAUUCGUAGAUAUUCGGAAGAACACCAGUGGCGAAGGCGGCUCACUGGCCCGGUACUGACGCUGAGGUGCGAAAGCGUGGGGAGCAAACA